Long non-coding RNA from Uranotaenia lowii, 1268 nucleotides. RefSeq lists it as uncharacterized. The transcript is spliced from 3 exons. NCBI's taxonomy places the organism in Eukaryota, Metazoa, Arthropoda, Insecta, Diptera, Culicidae. The record is from RefSeq and is a predicted model, not a curated record.
GAUUCGUUCAAACAUUUCGAGUCGUUCGAACAACUUGUUUGAACGGUUCGGUUUGUUUGAACCGUACAAUUCGUUUAAUCGAUCCGCUUGAAUCGAAAGAUUUGCUCGAUCAGUUUGAAUCGUACGAUCCAUUUGAACUGUACAAUCUGUUCGAUCCGUUAAAUCUGUUUGUUGAUUCAAAAUUUCAAGAACAACUCACAGAGUAGUAUGUUUUACAUUUUAUUUAAAUUUGGAACAUACCUAUUUGUUUAAUCGUUUAGCAAAAUGUAACUUCUAAUCAAAUUCAUAUUUUGAUUUCUAACUAUUUUUCCUCUUAAAAAUUUCAGCUAAUCUGAUUGGUCCGGCCUAUAACUGUAUCUUGCCUCCUUCGUUAAUGACUCAGCAACGUCACGGUCCACUGCCAAGCUCGUUUGAUUCGCGCAUUUAAUUUUGGUUAUUUUGAUGACAUUGAGGAGACCGCAAGCCACUAUUGUAUUAAGACGUUUCGUAAACGAGUUCUAGGGAAUCGAUAAUGGUAUUGGUCUCUCACCCAGACUCGAAGGUCGGUCUGGAGAUAAAAGUGGUGUCGUAUGCCCUCAGAUGUAAUUUCGUUCAUACCAGUAUGGAAACUCGGGAUACCAUAAUGUUAGCAUGAAAGACUCAGGGCUCCGGAAACCGAGACACAACCGAUAAAAAAAAUUACGUCGUUAAUUACAUCACCAUCUGCCGUUAAAAUAUCUUAAACUACUAAAAGAAAACAAACCGGACCAGCUGCUAGACCGUGCGAGAUUUGGAUUGAAUCGGCCAAUCGGAUAAAGACGCAAAAGAUCGACGACAGUAGCGGCACCGAUGGGGAUGAACCGAUUGGCAACGACGACGAUGAAAAUGAUGUUGAAGUCGUUUCGGUCCGUUUGUGGUAGAAUUUUACAACCCUUUGCGAAGUUGGACAGCAUGGACUCUGCCAGAUAGCUGAUCCUCCGGGCAAAAAGCCCUAAUUUUUUCGCAACUUUGGGUCGCAGAAAAAUCACCGAUCAAUCAGUGUUGAUUGUGCCCUGCCAAUAGUUUAGAGUGUAAAUAUUGGGAAUUUCUAAACUGAUUCAUAAAUAUUAAUGAUUUUUGAACAAUUCAUUGAUUUUUUUUGGUAUUUCGGGCAUCAGUUCCUUACGACGAGCUGUUUUGUUGGGUUGAACGCUCCAAGGUAUACACUGUACACUCAAGUAACAAUAUUAAGGUACUCAUCUUUGAAUCCUCGCAGGGUCAUAUUUGAUUCAUAUAGACAUGAACCAUAC